CCUACGGGUGGCAGCAGUGGGGGAUAUUGCACAAUGGGGGGAACCCUGAUGCAGCGACGCCGCGUGGGUGAAGAAGCGCUUCGGCGUGUAAAGCCCUGUCAGCAGGGAAGAAAAUGACGGUGCCUGAAGCAGAAGCCCCGGCUAACUACGUGCCAGCAGCCGCGGUCAUACGGAGGGGGCAAGCGUUAUCCGGAUUUACUGGGGGUAAAGGGAGCGGAGACGGCGGUGCAAGCCAGGAGUGAAAGCCGGGGGCCCAACCCCGGGACUGCUCUUGGAACUGCAUGGCUGGAGUGCAGGAGAGGCAGGCGGAAUUCCUGGUGUAGCGGUGAAAUGCGUAGAUAUGAGGAGGAACACCGGUGGCGAAGGCGGCCUGCUGGACUGCAACUGACGUUGAGGCCCGAAAGCGUGGGGAGCAAACAGGAUUAGAUACCCGAGUAGUC
Molecule: ribosomal RNA, 440 nt
Filed under: uncultured bacterium
Lineage: Bacteria
Description: partial 16S ribosomal RNA
Rfam family: Bacterial small subunit ribosomal RNA
Source: RNAcentral